CCUUCCCCUCAGAGAGGCCACGCCCUCCGCCCCGCCCUCAGAGAGCCGCCAAGAUGGCGGGAGGUGGCGUGUGGUGAUGGUGGGUCCUGUCCAGGCUGGGCGCUACCGCCUCUCUUCCCGUCACCUCAAGGGUCUUUUCACCCUCUCAGAAGCCCUAGUGGGCUCGACGAGGAGAAGGGACUGUGCUGGGAUGGGCCUUGUUCAUCUUCCAAGGCUGACAGACUUCAUGAUUGAAGGUUUCAAUUCCUUUUCCAUAAAAAAACCCAACACUGGGAUCAUCUCAAGAGACACUUUUAUGAAUAGCUGAGGUCAGGGCACGCAUGUAGCCUGCAGCAGGAGAACUGGCCCAGAGUGACCAGAUGACACACAGCAACCUCCCUUGGUCCAGGCACACCCAAAAUCUGGGGGCGAAGCUCCCAGAUUGCAGCCAGAUGAACCACUACAAUAUUUAACCUUUUACUGCAAGGGAAAGGCACAAACUGGGUGUGAGUUUCCCCUCCUAACCCUUCUCAUUUGUUUUGAGGGAUUCAGAGGAUUGGGAAUGUCCCAUCCAUGCUAAAAAUUAAUAUUAUGUUGUUCUGCUUUGCCUGGUUGAACAGGGACACUGGGAGGGUAGACACAUUUCCAUGGUGUGAAAAACGAUAGACAGAAGUUUAGCUUAACUCUCACCACAGUGCAUUUUCCUUGAUGGAAAGAUUUUAUGGGUUUGAGGUAGAUUUUACAUUUUUGUCUGAAUAAGUGGAAAGUUGAUGCUUUUUAAAACCAAAACCAUGCCAUAACAAGGCCAUGACCACAUGGGGUCAGCCCAGCUUUCCCCACUGAGGCUCAGAGCAGAGGUCCUGGACCUGCAGCAGGAAUGCAGCGAAUUUUGGACAAUCCUUACCCAGGAGCAUCCUCCCAGAUCCCAACAGUCGCUGUGGAGGGACAUCCUGGCCCAGAAGGUGCAUCUGGCCUGUGGGAUUUAACAGCUGAGCAGCAUCCUCUGUGUAUCCCAACUUCUGAUCUCUGCUGUGUGGCAGUGGAAUGUUGAAAAAUGAGGGGAAAAUCCUUUAUUUUGGUUAAAACUCUUGCUGUGCCCCAGCAAGGCUGAGUUUGUCAGCCCUGGAAACCAGUGCUGUCCCGUUUCCCACCACAGGUGCUGACAAACCUUUUUGCAUGUGGAUUUUGUAGCAGCAAGAGUCUAAACCAGAGCAGGGGGAUGAUCUGUAUGAGAAAACCUUCCUUGUAAUUCCAGGCCCUUGUAAAUAGUCUUUCUCCAUGUUUUUUGUAGGCUUCCUUCAGGCACUGGAUGCUGCAAUUAGGUCACCCUGAAGUCUUUUCCAGGCUGCACAAUCCCAGUUCUCC
Molecule: long non-coding RNA, 1344 nt
Filed under: Cyanistes caeruleus (blue tit)
Lineage: Eukaryota; Metazoa; Chordata; Aves; Passeriformes; Paridae
Description: lncRNA (ENSCCEG00000001612.1)
Source: RNAcentral